This is a long non-coding RNA of Daphnia pulicaria, 233 nucleotides long. RefSeq lists it as uncharacterized. The transcript has 2 exons. Lineage: Eukaryota; Metazoa; Arthropoda; Branchiopoda; Diplostraca; Daphniidae. The record is from RefSeq and is a predicted model, not a curated record.
UGUUGCGUGAUUACGCCAACGGGGCAAGUAGACAUCUGUGCUGGGAUCAAGUUUAUGAUGAGUCGAGCGUGAGACAGAUUGGCUUUCUUCCUCGGGCAAUUCUCUGGCCAAGCCCAGCGGCGCCUUCAGCAGCUACAAGAGUCGAAAGGUCUCGUGAAUUUAGUUCUUUUUGGCUGUUGUUCUAGCGGAUGUGCUACGCGCCAGCUAAUCAGCCUGGGUUCAUCCUACACACG